Molecule: ribosomal RNA, 497 nt
Filed under: uncultured bacterium
Lineage: Bacteria
Description: partial 16S ribosomal RNA
Rfam family: Bacterial small subunit ribosomal RNA
Source: RNAcentral
ACGAACGCUGGCGGCGUGCCUAAUACAUGCAAGUCGAGCGGACUGAAUGGGAGCUUGCUCUUGUUCGGUCAGCGGCGGACGGGUGAGUAACACGUGGGCAACCUGCCCGCAAGACCGGGAUAACUCCGGGAAACCGGAGCUAAUACCGGAUAACACCGAAGACCGCAUGGUCUUUGGUUGAAAGGCGGCGCAAGCUGCCACUUGCGGAUGGGCCCGCGGCGCAUUAGCUAGUUGGUGAGGUAACGGCUCACCAAGGCGACGAUGCGUAGCCGGCCUGAGAGGGUGACCGGCCACACUGGGACUGAGACACGGCCCAGACUCCUACGGGAGGCAGCAGUAGGGAAUCUUCCGCAAUGGGCGAAAGCCUGACGGAGCGACGCCGCGUGAGCGAAGAAGGCCUUCGGGUCGUAAAGCUCUGUUGUGAGGGACGAAGGAGCGCCGUUUGAAGAAGGCGGCGCGGUGACGGUACCUCACGAGGAAGCCCCGGCUAACUACGU